RNAcentral lists this ribosomal RNA (253 nucleotides) under uncultured bacterium. RNAcentral's name for it is "partial 16S ribosomal RNA". It matches the Rfam family "Bacterial small subunit ribosomal RNA", at positions 524 to 776 of the family's 1533-position model. The record is from RNAcentral.
UACGGGGGGGGCAAGCGUUGUUCGGAAUUACUGGGCGUAAAGCGCGUGUAGGCGGUUAUGCAAGUCGGGUGUGAAAGCCCGGAGCUCAACUCCGGAAGUGCAUUCGAUACUGCGUAGCUAGAGUACUGGAGAGGAUGGUGGAACUCUCGGUGUAGAGGUGAAAUUCGUAGAUAUCGAGAAGAACACCGGUGGCGAAGGCGGCCAUCUGGACAGAUACUGACGCUGAGACGCGAAAGCGUGGGGAGCAAACAGG